Microtus ochrogaster (prairie vole) is the source of this 1084-nucleotide long non-coding RNA. RefSeq lists it as uncharacterized. NCBI's taxonomy places the organism in Eukaryota, Metazoa, Chordata, Mammalia, Rodentia, Cricetidae. The transcript is spliced from 4 exons. The record is from RefSeq and is a predicted model, not a curated record.
UUAAAUUAUUCCAGAAGGCCCGCCAGGGUCUGAUUUGCCACUGUCUGCUUCCUCGUUGCCUUUGAAUGGGACCCUUGAUCCAAGGCUUUCAGAGACCAGCCGGUGCUGAUGGGGGCCUGUGACUUGGCGGUGGCGCCAGUUUGCUCCUUCUCUGUCUCGGGCAUGGUUUUCUGUCCUGCUGGGGAGGGCGAGAGCGCUGGGCAGAGGUGGCACCUGACCCGCUAGAACUCCGAUGUCACUGCUGUGGCUGUUACUCCCCUCGGCAAGAGUCAAGGCGCACGCAGGACGUGAAUCCUACCUCGGACUUGCCUCAUCUUUCUGAGACUAUGGCUCUUCAGGAGAUCUGCCUAUUGCUGAACAGCUGAGACUCUCAGUAGUUCUUAGGUGCAAAGAAAUUGAUGGCUACCUGUCUCCUUUUGGAUGCCACCAGAUCAUUCCAGCCACCUGCCAAUGUGCUGUCUUCAGACAAGGGCAGAUGCCCACAGAAGCUUUGAGGUCCUGAGGCUCCCUGGAGAGAAGAAUAGCAUCCCUGGCAAAGGUAAAGAGAAAGUACAGAAUCUAAGAGCCACCACCCUCUGAUCAAGUGAGUUACAUGAGAAGAGCCGAAGAGAAGUAAGGAAACAUUACGUGGACAUCACUGACCGAGAGCUGUGUGUGCUGUAGCCGGGAAGAUAGAAUGGUGUUUCUCCAGAACUAAAUCUGGCAGCUCAGAGGUUAAUGUGUUUAAUUAUUUAUGCCAAAGUCUGGUCUGCAAAUGCCCGGGUGCUUCCCAUCUCUGUAAGAUCUUCCUGAGCAAAACAAGAAGUUGUUGAUGGGAACUGGAGAUGGAAGUCACUGACCUCCCACUCCCUGGAGGAAAGUGGUACCUAAAACCUGCAAGGAGAUAGUUUGAUUAAACUAGAUGAGAUCUGAUGGUCUGGGUAGUUUAUGAGAACACUGUGUUUGUGUGCAUAGGCUAAAGGCCUCACCGUGGUGCCACAGGAUGGUCUUUCCCUCUUUGGGAAUCAUGGAAUCCAUAAGGUCCCAUUGGAAAUGAGUUGCAAAGCUAGGAGGGCCUUUUCUCAUCCUGUGUUUCUCAAUAAAC